This 487-nucleotide long non-coding RNA is filed under the name Homo sapiens (human). RNAcentral describes it as "non-protein coding lnc-LLCFC1-1:2". The record is from RNAcentral. Lineage: Eukaryota; Metazoa; Chordata; Mammalia; Primates; Hominidae.
CAGCGGGCGGCGGGACCCGGGACCCAGCUUGGCGACGGCGAUCUCGACGCGGGCCCCCAGGAUCUCCCGGCGCCCCACCUCUGGAGCAGCCCCUGCCGCCAGCGUCAGGUCCACCCCGGAAUCCCAGGGACUCUCGGCGCCGAACGGACCCGGGCCGGGUGCAACGGGGUCCCCGGACUGGAGAAGACGCGGGUGGCACCGUGCGAGCUCCAGGAGCCCCGGGUCCACUGCGAGGCCUCGGGGGGCGCAGACCUGCAGAGACUGCGGCCAACGGGAAGAAUAAAGGGAUUAUAGUCCACCCAAUUCACAGACUUCUGAGACUCAGACACGAGGAGAGAUAGAGAACCGCCAAUCUCUAAAUCAACAAGCAAAGGAGGUGCCAAGCCUGUUUGUCUUCAUUGUGACACUGGAGGUGGCUGUUGGAGGAAGGGAGGAGAGUAAAUGAAGAGAAAGAACUGGAAUAACCCCUUGCAGAAAAAAAAAAAAA